GAUGAACGCUGGCGGCGUGCCUAAUACAUGCAAGUAGAACGCUGAAGCUUGGUGCUUGCACCGAGCGGAUGAGUUGCGAACGGGUGAGUAACGCGUAGGUAACCUGCCUGGUAGCGGGGGAUAACUAUUGGAAACGAUAGCUAAUACCGCAUAACAGUAGAUAUUGCAUGAUAUCUGCUUGAAAGGUGCAAAUGCAUCACUACCAGAUGGACCUGCGUUGUAUUAGCUAGUUGGUGAGGUAACGGCUCACCAAGGCGACGAUACAUAGCCGACCUGAGAGGGUGAUCGGCCACACUGGGACUGAGACACGGCCCAGACUCCUACGGGAGGCAGCAGUAGGGAAUCUUCGGCAAUGGGGGGAACCCUGACCGAGCAACGCCGCGUGAGGGAAGAAGGUUUUCGGAUCGGAAAGCUCUGUUGUAAGAGAAGAACGAGUGUGAGAGUGGAAAGUUCACACUGUGACGGUAUCUUACCAGAAAGAGACGGCUAACUACGUG
RNAcentral lists this ribosomal RNA (497 nucleotides) under uncultured bacterium. Its description in RNAcentral is "partial 16S ribosomal RNA". It matches the Rfam family "Bacterial small subunit ribosomal RNA", at positions 28 to 507 of the family's 1533-position model. The record is from RNAcentral.